This 75-nucleotide transfer RNA is filed under the name subsurface metagenome. Its description in RNAcentral is "tRNA-Thr". It matches the Rfam family "tRNA". From Rfam's summary of the family: Transfer RNA (tRNA) molecules are approximately 80 nucleotides in length. The record is from RNAcentral.
AGCCAGCUUAGCUCAGAUGGAAGAGCAUCCGCCCUGUAAGCGGAAGUGCUUCGGUUCAAAUCCGAGAGUUGGCUU